Molecule: ribosomal RNA, 470 nt
Filed under: uncultured bacterium
Lineage: Bacteria
Description: partial 16S ribosomal RNA
Rfam family: Bacterial small subunit ribosomal RNA
Source: RNAcentral
GACGAACGCUGGCGGCGUGCUUAACACAUGCAAGUCGAACGAUGAAGCCUAGCUUGCUAGGUGGAUUAGUGGCGAACGGGUGAGUAAUACGUGAGUGACCUACCUUUGACUCUGGGAUAAGCCUGGGAAACUGGGUCUAAUACCGGAUACGACCAAUCUCCGCAUGGGGUGUUGGUGGAAAGCGUUAUGGAGUGGUUUUAGAUGGGCUCACGGCCUAUCAGCUUGUUGGUGAGGUAAUGGCUUACCAAGGCGACGACGGGUAGCCGGCCUGAGAGGGUGACCGGCCACACUGGGACUGAGACACGGCCCAGACUCCUACGGGAGGCAGCAGUGGGGAAUAUUGCACAAUGGGCGCAAGCCUGAUGCAGCGACGCCGCGUGAGGGAUGACGGCCUUCGGGUUGUAAACCUCUGUUAGCAUCGAAGAAGCGAAAGUGACGGUAGGUGCAGAGAAAGCGCCGGCUAACUACGU